This 279-nucleotide ribosomal RNA is filed under the name uncultured bacterium. Its description in RNAcentral is "partial 16S ribosomal RNA". It matches the Rfam family "Bacterial small subunit ribosomal RNA", at positions 506 to 784 of the family's 1533-position model. The record is from RNAcentral.
UGCCAGCAGCCGCGGUAAUACGAGGGGUGCAAGCGUUAAUCAGAAUUACUGGGCGUAAAGCGUACGCAGGCGGUUUUUUAAGCCAGAUGUGAAAGCCCCGGGCUCAACCUGGGAACUGCACCUGAUACUGCCAGUCUAGAAUACGGUAGAGGGUAGUGGAAUUUCCUGUGUAGCGGUGAAAUGCGUAGAUAUAGGAAGGAACACCAGUGGCGAAGGCGACUACCUGGACCGAUAUUGACACUGAGGUGCGAAAGCGUGGGGAGCAAACAGGAUUAGAUA